Molecule: ribosomal RNA, 497 nt
Filed under: uncultured bacterium
Lineage: Bacteria
Description: partial 16S ribosomal RNA
Rfam family: Bacterial small subunit ribosomal RNA
Source: RNAcentral
GAUGAACGCUGGCGGCGUGCCUAAUACAUGCAGGUCGAGCGAACGGACGAGAAGCUUGCUUCUCUGAUGUUAGCGGCGGACGGGUGAGUAACACGUGGAUAACCUACCUAUAAGACUGGGAUAACUUCGGGAAACCGGAGCUAAUACCGGAUGAUAUUUUGAACCGCAUGGUUCAAAAGUGAAAGACGGUCUUGCUGUCACUUAUAGAUGGAUCCGCGCUGCAUUAGCUAGUUGGUAAGGUAACGGCUUACCAAGGCAACGAUGCAUAGCCGACCUGAGAGGGUGAUCGGCCACACUGGAACUGAGACACGGUCCAGACUACUACGGGAGGCAGCAGUAGGGAAUCUUCCGCAAUGGGCGAAAGCCUGACGGAGCAACGCCGCGUGAGAUAUGAAGGUCUUCGGAUCGUAAAACUCUGUUAUUAGGGAAGAACAUAUGUGUAAGUAACUGUGCACAUCUUGACGGUACCUAAUCAGAAAGCCACGGCUAACUACGUG